Capsicum annuum is the source of this 1433-nucleotide long non-coding RNA. RefSeq lists it as uncharacterized. The record is from RefSeq and is a predicted model, not a curated record. The transcript has 2 exons. NCBI's taxonomy places the organism in Eukaryota, Viridiplantae, Streptophyta, Magnoliopsida, Solanales, Solanaceae.
UGUGGCUUUGACGUGGUGUUGAUGUGUAGGCGAAUGUAACAUACUCUCCAUUGUGAGAGUGGUAUUUAGUUUUGAGGAGCGAAAAUAAUACUCUUUAAAGCUGUUAAGGGGUAAAUAAAUAGAAGUUAAGGGGAUAAAUAAAUAGAAGUUAGGUUUAAGUGCUAGAAUGAGUUUGAAGUACAGAGGGAAAAAAAGCUUUUUCUCUUUAAUUUUUCUUUAUUCUUAUAUUAAACCUGAUCCACAUUUCAGUCAAAAUAAACAGGUGCUCUUUGUCACUCCCAAUAUUUGGUUCACGCGUAUUCUCGCCUCCCCGGAAAAUAGUCGAAGGGUCUCUAUCCAGAUACCUAAAAUCAGCGACAACAAUGCUCCCCUUUCUCUUCCCACCUCCUCUCUCUCAUCCAAAUCAGAGAGGCUAGCGGCAAUAGCUGUCGCAACCCUGCCAUCGCUGCACAAUAUUCGCCCCUUCUCAGCCAAGUCCAACCUGUGAGUCCGAAAAUCAGAUAAAAGUCAGCCCCAAAUUAGUGAUACAAGGAAAAUUUGAUUCAAAUCUGCAUUAAGGUUCUGGAAAUCGUCCAAAUUGAGGAAGGAUCUGUCCCUUUCCAAUUUUGAAUUCUAAUUUCCCGAUUCGCCCAUUGGUUUCUUUGAAUUUGUAGUUUCAAAUCCGGACUUUCAAGUCUAGAUUUACCUAUAAAUGGUCGCAUUGUUCAAUUCGUAUGAACAGAGGUCGGGUUUUUUCUUGGGAAUCAAAAAAGGGGUCUGAAGAAAAAAAAAAGAAAUCUCGUGAGGAGAGGCGGAGGAAAUCGAGUAAAAGAAGGCCGGAAAAGGGCCGAGAUUGGAGAAAAAAUGGGUUGGGAAAGCUAAAAAAGGGAGGCAUUGAAGUUGCUGGGAUUCACUGUCUUUUUUCUCUUUCUCCAUUUUUUGGUCCAUGGAGGAAUUGCGAGUCCCAGAGUUGAGUUUGUCACCGAAAAAUCCUUAACCGGAAGCCCGAGUUGGCUACACCGAAAAAGUUAAGUUCCAAUUAAAUCCUAAUUGAUUUUGGAAGAUGGAUUCCUGUAUAUAAUUUUCCGUCUAGCUUGAGUUGUCGUUCGUGCCGAAAAAUGGAUUUGAAGGUGUAUGAUGCACGUUUGAUCGUGAUGGUGUUGUUCGUUCGCUGGAAAUUAUAUAUUUUCGCCCCCUUUAAUCUGUAGAGUACCCCUUUGUUUCAAGAGAGGCUAUUUGCAAACGUGAUAUGUUGUUUUCUCGGGGUCGUUUGGGAGAGUGUAUAAGAAUAAUAUUAAAUAUUAAAUAGGGUGUAUUUGUAAUGUUUAUAUUAUUAAUAUAAGUAUUAGUAAUGUUAGUAUUAGUUAUGUUUGACUUGAUGUAUUAAAAGAUAAUUUAUAUUUAUAUAAAUUUUGUAAAAAAAUAUUUGUCUACUAAAUUACCCUUUCCUUAAA